AAAAAGACAAACCCUAGAUUUCCGUGUCCAACUUUGACUGUCCGUCUUAUAUGAAAUUUUUUUAUAAUUCGUAUUUUCAUUGUUGUUAGAUGAUAAAACAUGAUUAAUAUUUUAUGCGUGACUUGUCUUUUUAAUUUUUUUCAUAAUUUUUCAAAUAAGACGGACGGUCAAACGUUGGACACAGAAAUAUGGGUUUGUCUUUUUU
Non-coding RNA from Oryza glumipatula, 205 nucleotides. NCBI's taxonomy places the organism in Eukaryota, Viridiplantae, Streptophyta, Magnoliopsida, Poales, Poaceae. The record is from Rfam.